RNAcentral lists this ribosomal RNA (100 nucleotides) under Pseudomonas syringae pv. avellanae str. ISPaVe013. The record is from RNAcentral. Lineage: Bacteria; Pseudomonadati; Pseudomonadota; Gammaproteobacteria; Pseudomonadales; Pseudomonadaceae.
UUCUUGACGACCAUAGAGCAUUGGAACCACCUGAUCCCAUCCCGAACUCAGUAGUGAAACGAUGUAUCGCCGAUGGUAGUGUGGGGUUUCCCCAUGUGAG